AUCUCUCUCUUAUGCCCUCUUGCCUUCUGCCUUCUGCCUUCUGCUCGUGGGAUGAUGCAGCAAGAAGGCCCCCAAAAAUCAUGAGACCCUCAGCCUUGGACUUCCCAGCCCUCAGAGCUAUGUUUGGAGGAGACCGAGAGUGUGCUGUCGGCACGCAUCGUCCGUGAAGCAAUGGGGCAGAGUUCAUCCCUUACUUCAACCUAUGCAUCGCUGUUUUGUGCAUCGUCAUAAAAACAACACAUUCCAAAUGCACUGUCAUGGGCUUGGAAGGAAAAUAAUAAAGAAAACAAACCCCAAAUGAAAUUGCACAAUGUCUAGAGUGUCUUCAGUGCGUUUUCUUCUGCCUUAAAAAACCAACCAAACAAAAGCGACCUACUUGAGACCAUACAAUGAGGCAGACACUGGAUGUUUAGCUCCCAGCCCCUGACCCCCCUGCCGGCCUGGCAAGGUGAAUCUUGGGGAUAUACAGACCUCCCAGCUGCCCUGGUUGCUGGGUGCAGGUGCAGGACCCAGACUCAGCCAACAGCACACACAGCCAGCUCUAAAGUGGAAGCUGGUGGCACAAGGCAAAAGGCCAGCAUCCUUGGCUUCGGAGGUGGCUUCAUCCCCUCUUCAGGAGCAGUGGGUCAGUGGCACUGGGCCCGUGUCCAGUCCUGACCUGUGCUGGCCCUGGAGCUGCAGUAUUGCUGCCCCCCAGGCCCCUGGCUGGGCUCCUGGUCCUGCUGCUGCUCGGCCUCUCCCUC
Molecule: long non-coding RNA, 743 nt
Filed under: Homo sapiens (human)
Lineage: Eukaryota; Metazoa; Chordata; Mammalia; Primates; Hominidae
Description: HSALNT0344347
Source: RNAcentral